This 490-nucleotide ribosomal RNA is filed under the name uncultured bacterium. RNAcentral's name for it is "partial 16S ribosomal RNA". It matches the Rfam family "Bacterial small subunit ribosomal RNA", at positions 29 to 505 of the family's 1533-position model. The record is from RNAcentral.
AGUGAACGCUGGCGGUAGGCCUAACACAUGCGAGUCGAACGGCAGCACAGUAAGAGCUUGCUCUUACGGGUGGCGAGUGGCGGACGGGUGAGGAAUACAUCGGAAUCUACUUUUUCGUGGGGGAUAAUGUAGGGAAACUUACGCUAAUACCGCAUACGACCUACGGGUGAAAGCAGGGGAUCUUCGGACCUUGCGCGAUUGAAUGAGCCGAUGUCGGAUUAGCUAGUUGGCGGGGUAAAGGCCCACCAAGGCGACGAUCCGUAGCUGGUCUGAGAGGAUGAUCAGCCACACUGGAACUGAGACACGGUCCAGACUCCUACGGGAGGCGGCAGUGGGGAAUAUUGGACAAUGGGCGCAAGCCUGAUCCAGCCAUACCGCGUGGGUGAAGAAGGCCUUCGGGUUGUAAAGCCCUUUUGUUGGGAAAGAAAAGCAGCAGGUUAAUACCCCGCUGUUCUGACGGUACCCAAAGAAUAAGCACCGGCUAACUUCG